GCCUUUAGUUGCCAGCAGUUUGGCUGGGCACUCUAAAGGGAACGUGCCGGUGUUAAACCGGAGGAAGGUGGGGAUGACGUCAAGUCCUCAUGGCCUUUAUGACCAGGGCUACACACGUACUACAAUGGCCGAUACAAAGGGCAGCGACACUGCGAGGUGAAGCCAAUCCCGUAAAAUCGGUCUCAGUCCGGAUUGGAGUCUGCAACUCGACUCCAUGAAGUUGGAAUCGCUAGUAAUCGUGGAUCAGCAUGCCACGGUGAAUACGUUCCCGGGCCUU
This 277-nucleotide ribosomal RNA is filed under the name uncultured Desulfobulbus sp. Its description in RNAcentral is "partial 16S ribosomal RNA". It matches the Rfam family "Bacterial small subunit ribosomal RNA", at positions 1107 to 1382 of the family's 1533-position model. Lineage: Bacteria; Pseudomonadati; Thermodesulfobacteriota; Desulfobulbia; Desulfobulbales; Desulfobulbaceae. The record is from RNAcentral.